This 274-nucleotide ribosomal RNA is filed under the name uncultured bacterium. Its description in RNAcentral is "partial 16S ribosomal RNA". It matches the Rfam family "Bacterial small subunit ribosomal RNA", at positions 523 to 796 of the family's 1533-position model. The record is from RNAcentral.
AUACGGAGGGUGCAAGCGUUGUUCGGAAUUAUUGGGCGUAAAGCGCGUGUAGGCGGCUUGGUAAGUCGGGCGUGAAAUCCCGGGGCUCAACCCCGGAACUGCACUCGAAACUGCCUGGCUAGAGUCCCGGAGAGGAAGGCGGAAUUCCCGGUGUAGAGGUGAAAUUCGUAGAUAUCAGGAAGAACACCUGUGGCGAAGGCGGCUAGCUGGGCCGGAUCUGACGCUGAUCCGCGAAAGCGUGGGGAGCAAACAGUAUUAGAAACCCCAGUAGUCC